CAAAACCUUUGCAAAUGGCUCUGGUCUUUAAUCAAUCCCUCUUUCAGUUCACCCCUUCCCAGUCACUCAAAUUACCUGUCUUUAUUAUUAUUAAAUAGUGAUGAGGUAUCACUAUGUUGCCCAGGCUGGUCUUGAACUCCUGAGCUCAAGUGAUCCUCCUGCCUCAGCUUUCCAAAGUGCUAGGAUUAUAGGCGUGAGCCACUACACCCAGCCAAAUGAUCUUUCCAUAACGUGUUACUCCCUUCAUCUCAAACAUUUAAAUGCCAAGGCAUUUAAAAGGUUCCCAAAGUUUAUAAUAAAGUUCAAAUAAUUUACAGGCCGGGCGCGGUGGCUCAAGCCUGUAAUCCCAGC
Sapajus apella (tufted capuchin) is the source of this 351-nucleotide long non-coding RNA. RefSeq lists it as uncharacterized. The record is from RefSeq and is a predicted model, not a curated record. The transcript has 3 exons. Lineage: Eukaryota; Metazoa; Chordata; Mammalia; Primates; Cebidae.